UAAAGUUUUAUUUUAAGUUUGCAAAAUUAGAUUAAGUUUUGAUUCAUAUGAAAAUUAUAGUAUUAAAUUUUUAAUAAAUUAAAAAUUCAGUGGAUAGUUUUAUAAUAUUAAUGAAAAUUAGAUUUAGAAGAGUUUUUAGUAUUAACAAAAUUUGUGCCAGCAGUUGCGGUUAUACAGAUAAUACAAUUUAAUUUAUUUAAGUUUUAAAGAUUAGUAGUAUUAAUAAAUUUAUUAUAUAGAUUAUUAGGUGAAAUUUUAAUUUAUAGGAAAAUUUAAAUUUAUAAUUUAAGAAAAUUUUUUAGUAGACUAGGAUUAGAUACCCUAUUAUUAUAAUUGUGAAUUUGGAACUUGAUUAGUAUUAGUGAAGAUCUUAAAAAUUAAAAAAUUUGGCGGUAUUUUAGUCUAUUCAGAGGAACCUGUUCUGUAAACGAUAAUCCACGAGUUAAUUAACUUUAUUUAUAAAUUUGUAUAUCGUUGUGGUUAGAUUAUUUUUGAAGAAUAUUAAUAUUCAAGGUUAAUUUUAUUAGGAAAUUCAGAUCAAGGUAUAGUUUAUAAUAAAGAAGAAAUGGGUUACAAUUUUUAAUAGAAUAAGAUUUAUAAUUGAGAGUUAUAAUAAAUUUGGAUUUGAUUGUAAUUUUUAAGGAAAUUUUAAAAAUGAUUAUAGCUCUAAAAUAUGUACAUAUCGCCCGUCGCUUUCAUUCUAAAAUGAAAUAAGUCGUAACAAAGUAGUUUUACUGGAAAGUGAGUCUAGAAAGGC
Molecule: non-coding RNA, 757 nt
Filed under: Cerambycidae sp. 9 KM-2017
Lineage: Eukaryota; Metazoa; Arthropoda; Insecta; Coleoptera; Cerambycidae
Source: RNAcentral